Molecule: long non-coding RNA, 505 nt
Filed under: Homo sapiens (human)
Lineage: Eukaryota; Metazoa; Chordata; Mammalia; Primates; Hominidae
Description: non-protein coding lnc-SGTB-1:1
Source: RNAcentral
UUUCUUUGUACGACAGUAAUCGGUGCACAGGGGUUGUUGGAGUCCAGCCCUGAUUUGAAGGCAGCAGGUAUCUCUUGCAGCUGCAGCACUCCAACUUCCUCUAAUGGCACGGUCAGGUCGCAGGAAACCACAGCGGCAGCGCGGUGCAGCUUCCCACGCCCGCCCUUCGAGCUUGUUCCCCAGCGGCGCAGCUCAGCCUCCUCCAAGUCUCAGCCUCAUACCGGCGGGGAGACAAAGCUGGCGCUGGGAGUGGGAAAAGGGCCCGCGAAAUGGCCUCAAGAUCGUGCCUUUGUUAGAAGAAACAUGGAAAAGACGGCCUUGUUUUACCCAGAGAAGGAGCGUAAUGCGGAGCGAACCAUUCGUCACCCCCAUUCUCUGCUGCACUUAACUGUGUACAGUGAUGAUAAUUAGCCUCUGGGUCCCUGAAGUCCCUGGUUCAGUUCUUCCGUCUGUAUUCUAGAGAUAAUUAUUUAUUACCAAGUUUGAAUAAAGAGCUAUAUCCCCU